RNAcentral lists this unclassified non-coding RNA (184 nucleotides) under uncultured Russulaceae. RNAcentral describes it as "sequence contains ITS1". The record is from RNAcentral. Lineage: Eukaryota; Fungi; Basidiomycota; Agaricomycetes; Russulales; Russulaceae.
UCGUAUAACGGAGGUGCCGGGGCUGUCGCUAAACUUUGUGCACGCCCCGGUGCUCUCUUACAAUCCAUAUCACCCCCUUUUGUGCAUCACCGCGUGGGUGCUCUCCUUUUCUGAAAGGGGGGGCAUUUGCGCUUUUAUACAGACCCACCGCAUGUGUAGAAUGUCCUCAUUUAUGCAAUCAAUA